Fukomys damarensis (Damara mole-rat) is the source of this 1537-nucleotide long non-coding RNA. RefSeq lists it as uncharacterized. NCBI's taxonomy places the organism in Eukaryota, Metazoa, Chordata, Mammalia, Rodentia, Bathyergidae. The transcript has 4 exons. The record is from RefSeq and is a predicted model, not a curated record.
GGAGGAGGAGAAAAAGGUGAAGGAAUCCCUCAUUUCAAAUGAGAUUAGGGAGAUGUGUAAAAUAAGGGAAACUGUGAAAUUGUACAGAAAACAUCACUCAAAUAAGGCUGUAGCAGUGCAAGCGAUGAAUCUGUUUAAGUACAAUGCAAUGUCACAUUUCUGAGAAAAGAAGGAAAAGAAAACAAAACCUAGUGUCAUUGGAUAAGUUCCUUCAUAAAGUUACACAAAAGAAAAAAUUCCAUUGAGCCAAUAGAUAGCAGUGAUUUCUCUAGUGAUAGUGAAAGCUGUCCUAUAUAAUAAAUAACAUUCCUUUCUCUUGUCUGUCUCACAUCAGCCACAAAGAUUUUCAAAGGAUUGUGGAAUGAAUCAUCUGAGCUACCAUUAUAUCUUAUGGGGAAAUUUGCUUUAUAUAAAUGCUUUGGAUUAGGAGCAUGUUUCCAGAAUGAAUUAUGGUCACAAACCAAAGUUUUACUGCACAUGAAUUUCCUUGCUUGAAAGAAUCACAAUUAAGAAUGUAGGAUCUGAAGUCCAGUACUUUCGUAGCCAGAAAAAUUUGAGCAAGAUCCUGGCAAGAGGAUAGUCGCACACUCCUAAGGUUUGGAAUCAAGGCCAUGCCUGCUGCAACAAAGGAAAAUUUACCAUCCCCAAAGCAGCUAAGCACUCACCAUGGGAUCAUGUGACCAUUUAACCAAAGCUGCCCAUCAUGAUCUGCACGUCAGAGGCACUGAGUCAUGUUGUCAAGUGAACACAGCACCUUGAAGGCUCAAGAACAAUCAGCCAUUCUACACCCUCACAUAGUAGAAGGAAAUUCCAUGAGGUAACUUCUGACCAAUGGAAACAGGAUAAGUAUUUUCUUUUUCCACGUUUGGAGGUAAAAUUCUGUGUACAUUCCACAGGGCUCCUGAGACCCCUCGUGGUAGCCCAUCACUCUGAAGCAACAGGUCAGCAGCACAUACUUGAUGGGUUUCCCUCCUCUCAGUCUCCCACCCCUCUUCUUUCAGAUCCUAACUACUUGCAUAUAAGCCUUCCUCUCAGGUUGUGCCUUUGGGGUGUAACAAAGACUAAUAACAGAAUUAAAUAGCACAUAUGCUUCUAAAUUUAAGACCAACAUACUUAUAUGUGAGGCCUACAGAACAUGCUAUUUAUUUACAGCAACUGCCUUUGGAGCUUCAUCUUCGUAACCUUCUAUGUUAGUAGGCUUACUAUCUCCAUGCUACAGAUCAGGAAAUGGAGGCCUAAAAUUCCAACUGCUACAUUUGAGCUAACUGUCUGACCUCCAGAUCUGACCUCCAAAGCCCAGGCCCUUAAGCAUUACACCUGUUACUCAGCAUGACUUCCACCACACAUCUUCUCCACUUUCUGAGGCCUUUAACUUAGCCACUCUACAGACCUUGCCCUUUCACGCUGUUUCAUCCUGUCAACACCGCAGCCUAGAUCAGAUACCAUCUCCCUAAACUUUCUUAUCAGCUUCCAUACAGCAUUUUUUUUCAAUCUUUCUUAUACUGUGACUACUGUUCUGCUGCUUUCGUAUGACUUA